GUGGCGUGAUGCUGACGCAGCCCACUGACAAGCCAGCGAGAGGCCCAGGGGAGCAGCUCUGAGCCGAGCAGCCAGAGCCAGGCAGGACUGCAAUCAUGGUUUCUUCAGAUGCACACUUAAGGAAAACUUCUCAACUCUUCUCCAAGAAUCCCCUGCCUCCAUCCCUAGAGAAUCAUGGCUUCAAAAUGAAACAUAAAACAAAGUUUUGAGCUGACUUUGGUCGAAAUCUCAAAUACUAUAAGACAGAAACUGUACAGUACUGUCUGCAGGUGGACCACAUUGUAGGGGAAAUAACGUGAUUCAAGCCAGCCACCUGCCCCUGCUUUCCAGGAUUCUACCACUCAGCUCUGAUCAAGCUAGCAUCCCUCCUCCUGUCACCAGCAAAGCCCAUGAAACAUUUCCAAGAAUUAAAAAUAGAAUCUGGGUAAUAAAAUAAAGUCUAACCUUUUUUCCCUUUGUGCUUGGACAAAGGAAAUAGUUUCAUUUGCUCAUAGUGGGGCAUGUGCAGAGGCCUCACACUGGCCAUUCAGACCAGUUCCUAGAGCAAAAUGGCCAUGCCCACACCUCGGCUCAGGGCAUGUGCAGGAGCGCUGUGAAUGGCACUGCAGUUCAAGUUGGUGGCAGCAGGCUGUGUGCACAGAGCCGCUGCUCUGGCACUGUGACCCAAAGCCCUGAGCAGCAUGCCUGCGCCGGACUCACGAAAGCUCCGCCCCCUUUCCUCCAUAGUAAGACUUCAAUAAAGCAGCCCUGCUAAUGGCUUGUUGGGGGGAACGUGUGCUAAAGAGCAAGGUUCCCCAGCUUCUGGGAUCUAAUGCCCGAUAAUCUCGUGGAGCUGAAAUAAUAAUAAUAGAAAUAAAGGGUAUAAUAAAUG
RNAcentral lists this long non-coding RNA (871 nucleotides) under Bos taurus (domestic cattle). Its description in RNAcentral is "long non-coding RNA NONBTAT011538". The record is from RNAcentral. Lineage: Eukaryota; Metazoa; Chordata; Mammalia; Artiodactyla; Bovidae.